Molecule: long non-coding RNA, 261 nt
Filed under: Elaeis guineensis (African oil palm)
Lineage: Eukaryota; Viridiplantae; Streptophyta; Magnoliopsida; Arecales; Arecaceae
Description: long non-coding RNA (EGUI_LNC050201)
Source: RNAcentral
UUUGAUUAGGAUUCGGGGGGUGGUCGACCGUCAUAGAAACCCGGAUGGAGUCUGGUUACCAUAGGGCUCUCGUUGUCGGUGAAGCUCGGAUGCUGAUGAAGUCCGAAAGAAGUGCGGAGGGUAGUUGGUUGCUGUAGAAGGUCGGCUGACAGUGAGCCCUAGAGGGCCUUCGGGGCAGCCCGAGGGACGAAUGCAGAAGUUCAUUGUCGGAGAAGUCUGGACGAUCGAGGAGGUUCGGAGAGGCGCCACCCACAAGGUCGG